Molecule: ribosomal RNA, 650 nt
Filed under: uncultured bacterium
Lineage: Bacteria
Description: bacterial SSU rRNA
Rfam family: Bacterial small subunit ribosomal RNA
Source: RNAcentral
UGCAGUCGAGCGGAGAGAAGAGGCUUGCUUCUUCUUUUAGCGGCGGACGGGUGAGUAACACGUGGGCAACCUACCUUGUAGAUUGGGAUAACUCCGGGAAACCGGGGCUAAUACCAAAUAAUCCAUUUUGCUUCAUGGCGAAAUGUUGAAAGGCGGCUUCGGCUGUCACUACGAGAUGGGCCCGCGGCGUAUUAGCUAGUUGGUAGGGUAAUGGCCUACCAAGGCGACGAUACGUAGCCGACCUGAGAGGGGGAUCGGCCACACUGGGACUGAGACACGGCCCAGACUCCUACGGGAGGCAGCAGUAGGGAAUCUUCCACAAUGGACGAAAGUCUGAUGGAGCAACGCCGCGUGAGUGAAGAAGGUUUUCGGAUCGUAAAACUCUGUUGUAAGGGAAGAACACGUACGAGAGUAACUGCUCGUACCUUGACGGUACCUUAUUAGAAAGCCACGGCUAACUACGUGCCAGCAGCCGCGGUAAUACGUAGGUGGCAAGCGUUGUCCGGAAUUAUUGGGCGUAAAGCGCGCGCAGGCGGUCCUUUAAGUCCGAUGUGAAAGCCCACGGCUCACCCGUGGAGGGUCAUUGGAAACUGGGGGACUUGAGUACAGAAGAGGAAAGCGGAAUUCCAUGUGUAGCGCUGAAAUGCGUA